UUAAUGCUAAUAAGUGAUUUAUG
Molecule: microRNA, 23 nt
Filed under: Ciona savignyi (Pacific transparent sea squirt)
Lineage: Eukaryota; Metazoa; Chordata; Ascidiacea; Phlebobranchia; Cionidae
Description: csa-miR-155
Gene: csa-miR-155
Source: miRBase by way of RNAcentral